Molecule: transfer RNA, 46 nt
Filed under: Canis lupus (wolf)
Lineage: Eukaryota; Metazoa; Chordata; Mammalia; Carnivora; Canidae
Also listed under: 4 other names
Description: partial tRNA-Pro
Source: RNAcentral
AUUUCAGCUUUGGGUGCUGAUGGUGGAGCAAGAGCUUCUUCCUUGA